Small nucleolar RNA from Coffea arabica (coffee), 107 nucleotides. NCBI's taxonomy places the organism in Eukaryota, Viridiplantae, Streptophyta, Magnoliopsida, Gentianales, Rubiaceae. The record is from RefSeq and is a predicted model, not a curated record.
AUUUGAUGCUGAGGGCAUUUGAUGCAUAACUUCUUGAAUCUUUCCCAAUAGUCAUAGAGCGACUCUCCUGGGUGUUGCUUGAUACAGCAGGUCUCCUUCCUCAGACU